UUCAGAGUUUUUAAUAGGUUGAAUUUUGUUCUCCUGAAUUCAUUUAUCCAAGCCCGAGGCUCCAUUGUGUCUUUUUUUUUUUUUUUUUUAAGAUAGGGCCCUUGAGGAGGUAAUUAAGGUUAAUUGAGAUGUUAUGGGUAGCACCCUUAGUAGAUAGAAUUGGUGCCCUUUAAGAAAAAGGGGGAUCAUAUCUCUCUCUCUUUCUCUCUCUCAGCUCACAGAGAAGAAGACAUUGGAGGACACAGCAAGAAUAUAGUUGUCUACAAGCCAGGAAGAGUGGCCUCAUCUGAAACCCACCCUGCUAGCACCCUCAUCGUGGAAUUCUAGCUUCCGGAACAGGGAGGCGUUGAGCAUCUAUCUAAGUGACCCACUCUGUGGAACCUUGUUCUGCCAGCCCAAACUGACUACAAUGGAUCAUGAGUCCAUCCGCUAACUACGCAUAACCGCUGUUUUGAGAUUCCUUCUGCUCCCCGGAAAUACUCAGCCUUUGCCAUCACAGAACACUGGAAUGGGUCGAUCUCACACAUGAAGCAAACACUGUGCUAUUUCUUGGGACGGUCAUAUUCACAGAUAAAUUAUCCACGAAGCAAACUAAAAUUAAGUCGCAGAUUGAAAAUGACGCAGUUCUGCUAUCCAAAUAAACAGGCUGUCAGUUCUCGGAUUCUGAAGAUUCUGUUUGCUGCUUCCCAGCGUUUCUGAAUGCAUGAUUUCAGCUUUAC
RNAcentral lists this long non-coding RNA (719 nucleotides) under Oryctolagus cuniculus (rabbit). RNAcentral describes it as "lncRNA (ENSOCUG00000030848.1)". The record is from RNAcentral. Lineage: Eukaryota; Metazoa; Chordata; Mammalia; Lagomorpha; Leporidae.